Prevotella bivia DSM 20514 is the source of this 107-nucleotide non-coding RNA. It matches the Rfam family "Bacteroidales small SRP". From Rfam's summary of the family: The non-coding component of the signal recognition particle in Bacteroides Lineage: Bacteria; Pseudomonadati; Bacteroidota; Bacteroidia; Bacteroidales; Prevotellaceae. The record is from Rfam.
UAACCAUGAGCAAGUCUCUUACGACCAGCUCCCUUUAAAUCCCCCAGGAUGGGAACAUAGCAAGGGUAGAAGGUUGUAGCGGUGCGAUAAGAAUCGCUUGCUCACCC